Molecule: ribosomal RNA, 253 nt
Filed under: uncultured bacterium
Lineage: Bacteria
Description: partial 16S ribosomal RNA
Rfam family: Bacterial small subunit ribosomal RNA
Source: RNAcentral
UACGUAGGUGGCAAGCGUUGUCCGGAAUUAUUGGGCGUAAAGCGCGCGCAGGCGGUCCUUUAAGUCUGAUGUGAAAGCCCACGGCUCAACCGUGGAGGGUCAUUGGAAACUGGGGGACUUGAGUGCAGGAGAGAAGAGUGGAAUUCCACGUGUAGCGGUGAAAUGCGUAGAGAUGUGGAGGAACACCAGUGGCGAAGGCGGCUCUUUGGACUGUAACUGACGCUGAGGCGCGAAAGCGUGGGGAGCAAACAGG